This 492-nucleotide ribosomal RNA is filed under the name uncultured bacterium. RNAcentral describes it as "partial 16S ribosomal RNA". It matches the Rfam family "Bacterial small subunit ribosomal RNA", at positions 29 to 507 of the family's 1533-position model. The record is from RNAcentral.
AGUGAACGCUGGCGGUAGGCCUAACACAUGCAAGUCGAACGGCAGCACAGUGAGAGCUUGCUCUUACGGGUGGCGAGUGGCGGACGGGUGAGGAAUACAUCGGAAUCUACUUUUUCGUGGGGGAUAACGUAGGGAAACUUACGCUAAUACCGCAUACGACCUACGGGUGAAAGCAGGGGAUCUUCGGACCUUGCGCGAUUGAAUGAGCCGAUGUCGGAUUAGCUAGUUGGCGGGGUAAAGGCCCACCAAGGCGACGAUCCGUAGCUGGUCUGAGAGGAUGAUCAGCCACACUGGAACUGAGACACGGUCCAGACUCCUACGGGAGGCAGCAGUGGGGAAUAUUGGACAAUGGGCGCAAGCCUGAUCCAGCCAUACCGCGUGGGUGAAGAAGGCCUUCGGGUUGUAAAGCCCUUUUGUUGGGAAAGGAAAGCAGCAGGUUAAUACCCCGCUGUUCUGACGGUACCCACAGAAUAAGCACCGGCUAACUUCGUG